This 253-nucleotide ribosomal RNA is filed under the name uncultured bacterium. Its description in RNAcentral is "partial 16S ribosomal RNA". It matches the Rfam family "Bacterial small subunit ribosomal RNA", at positions 524 to 776 of the family's 1533-position model. The record is from RNAcentral.
UACGUAGGUCCCAAGCGUUGUUCGGAAUCACUGGGCGUAAAGGGAGCGUAGGCGGCGCGGUAAGUCAGAUGUGAAAUCCCGGGGCUCAACCCCGGAACUGCAUCCGAUACUGCCGUGCUUGAGCAAUGGAGAGGUAGCUGGAAUUAUCGGUGUAGCAGUGAAAUGCGUAGAUAUCGAUAGGAACACUCGUGGCGAAAGCGAGCUACUGGACAUUUGCUGACGCUGAGGCUCGAAGGCUAGGGGAGCGAAAGGG